ACGGAAGGCAGCAGUGGGGAAUAUUGCACAAUGGGCGAAAGCCUGAUGCAGCGACGCCGCGUGAGUGAAGAAGUAUCUCGGUAUGUAAAGCUCUAUCAGCAGGGAAGAAAAUGACGGUACCUGACUAAGAAGCCCCGGCUAACUACGUGCCAGCAGCUGCGGUAAUACGUAGGGGGCAAGCGUUAUCCGGAUUUACUGGGUGUAAAGGGAGCGUAGACGGUUUGGCAAGUCUGAAGUGAAAUGCGGGGGCUCAACUCCUGAACUGCUUUGGAAACUGUCGAACUAGAGUGCAGGAGAGGUAAGUGGAAUUCCUAGUGUAGCGGUGAAAUGCGUAGAUAUUAGGAGGAACACCAGUGGCGAAGGCGGCUUACUGGACUGUAACUGACGUUGAGGCUCGAAAGCGUGGGGAGCAAACAGGAUUAGAUACCCUGGUA
RNAcentral lists this ribosomal RNA (434 nucleotides) under uncultured Lachnospiraceae bacterium. RNAcentral's name for it is "partial 16S ribosomal RNA". It matches the Rfam family "Bacterial small subunit ribosomal RNA", at positions 341 to 792 of the family's 1533-position model. Lineage: Bacteria; Bacillati; Bacillota; Clostridia; Lachnospirales; Lachnospiraceae. The record is from RNAcentral.